RNAcentral lists this ribosomal RNA (512 nucleotides) under uncultured bacterium. RNAcentral's name for it is "bacterial SSU rRNA". It matches the Rfam family "Bacterial small subunit ribosomal RNA", at positions 10 to 518 of the family's 1533-position model. The record is from RNAcentral.
AGUUGAUCUGGCUCAGGAUGAACGCUGGCGGCGUGCCUAACACAUGCAAGUCGAACGAAGCAUAUCGGAACGGAGAUUCGUCAAAGGGAAGGUAUGACUUAGUGGCGGACGGGUGAGUAAUGUGUGAGCAACCUGCCUUUCAGAGGGGGACAACAGUUGGAAACGACUGCUAAUACCGCAUAAUGUAUUUGGGCGGCAUCGUCUGGAUACCAAAGGAGCAAUCCGCUGAAAGAUGGGCUCACAUCUGAUUAGCUAGUUGGUGGGGUAACGGCUCACCAAGGCUGCGAUCAGUAGCCGGACUGAGAGGUUGAACGGCCACAUUGGGACUGAGAUACGGCCCAGACUCCUACGGGAGGCAGCAGUGGGGAAUAUUGGGCAAUGGGCGCAAGCCCUGACCCAGCAACGCCGCGUGAAGGAAGAAGGCUUUCGGGUUGUAAACUUCUUUUAUCAGGGACGAAGAAAGUGACGGUACCUGAUGAAUAAGCCACGGCUAACUACGUGCCAGCAGCGGC